RNAcentral lists this long non-coding RNA (481 nucleotides) under Homo sapiens (human). Its description in RNAcentral is "non-protein coding lnc-IRX3-80:8". The record is from RNAcentral. Lineage: Eukaryota; Metazoa; Chordata; Mammalia; Primates; Hominidae.
GGGGUCUCGAUCGCGCUAUUGUCAUGGAGACGGGAAGCUGGCUGCAGCGGCGGCGGGGACCGUGGGGCCGAGGUGGCUGCCAGCCGGCCAAUGUCUAAGCGAGGCGGAGCGGCCCAGGCGGCCCGAGCCUGGGGGAGCGCGCAGCCGGCCAGUGGCGGCCUCGCCGGCGGCCUCUUCCCGGGCUCGCAGUAGGCCCGAGUCGUCGCCGGGAGCUCCUGGGAGCAGCGUCCCCGCCCUGCUCCCCUCGCUCCCGCCUCUUGCGGCCCCACGGCCCCUCAGCGCCCGCCCCCGGCUCCGCCCGCCGCAGCCGCAGCCCCUGGCGCUAACGGUCGGUAACGGCCCGCGCGCGCCGCCCGCCGGGGGCUCGCGCCAGCCACGAGGGAGCGUCCGCGGCCCGCGCGCCCGCGCGGCGGAGGAGAGGUGUUAAGUGUGAUGCUUCCAUAAUACAUUUGGAUGCUGUCAGCUAAGUUCACUUCUGAAC